AGCGAACGCUGGCGGCAGGCCUAACACAUGCAAGUCGAACGGAUCCUUCGGGAUUAGUGGCGGACGGGUGAGUAACACGUGGGAACGUGCCCUUUGGUUCGGAACAACUCAGGGAAACUUGAGCUAAUACCGGAUGUGCCCUUCGGGGGAAAGAUUUAUCGCCAUUGGAGCGGCCCGCGUCUGAUUAGCUAGUUGGUGAGGUAACGGCCCACCAAGGCGACGAUCAGUAGCUGGUCUGAGAGGAUGAUCAGCCACACUGGGACUGAGACACGGCCCAGACUCCUACGGGAGGCAGCAGUGGGGAAUCUUGUGCAAUGGGCGAAAGCCUGACGCAGCCAUGCCGCGUGAAUGAUGAAGGUCUUAGGAUUGUAAAAUUCUUUCAGCGGGGACGAUAAUGACGGUACCCGCAGAAGAAGCUCCGGCUAACUUCGUG
Molecule: ribosomal RNA, 433 nt
Filed under: uncultured bacterium
Lineage: Bacteria
Description: partial 16S ribosomal RNA
Rfam family: Bacterial small subunit ribosomal RNA
Source: RNAcentral